UUUAGUAUAAUGCCUUGAGAACGUGUUUCCAACAAUUUCGCCCUUUUUGAUAAUGGCAAACUUUAAGCGGGAUAUGCAUAUUAAGCAAUUCACGAUUCAAGACAAGUAAAGAUAUGCAACAAGUAUGCAAUUAUUUCCCCCUCAACAUAUAAAUUCCCCCUCAAUUUAAUCUAAUAAAUAUUGAGAGUGCAUACCCGUUAUCUUCCC
Molecule: long non-coding RNA, 207 nt
Filed under: Nicotiana benthamiana
Lineage: Eukaryota; Viridiplantae; Streptophyta; Magnoliopsida; Solanales; Solanaceae
Description: long non-coding RNA (NBEN_LNC004822)
Source: RNAcentral